AACCAGACAAAUUCCUAUCCCCAAUUCUUUCCCUUUCCUACCCGUCUUCUUCUUCUCUCCUUCUUUCCUUCUCUGCAAAACUACUUCACCUCAUCCCAGAAUUCAAAAUUCAAAAUUUAAAAGUUAAACUCUCUCUCUCUCUCCCUCUUAUUUACCAUGAACGAACACACAAAUGCUAUGACUUUUCAUCUUCAUUUUAGAGUGAUCCAUGGUUGGAUGUUCUUCAAGAACAGGUUUGUAUGUCUCAUCAACAGUCAGAUCUGCAUCAAUGUUAGGUGUUUUCGGUAGAGAUGGAAUUCCACCACUGAUCGGUGCCUGAUUUGGUGGGGUUAAACCCGUACUGCGGCGACAUAUCAGAUUCCAGUCAAGCCUAGGGUUCCGGCGAGUACUUAGUUUGCAGAGAAUGGGAUAGCUGCCCACCGCACUCGGGGGUGACACCAGGAAUUCCGGCACUUGAACUACCCAACCUCAAGUUUGGAGGAAUGCGAGAUAAAGUUUGGACGUCUGAAGGUUUUCCGUAUCCAUACAAAGAAGAUGAAGCUUUCUGAUGAUCUUUCAGGUUUGGUCCUUCACCAACGGGUUUAUGAGGGUUCUUCAACUUUCGGUACGGAGGAAACACAAAGAAGAGGUUGAUACAGCCCGUAUACACAAGGUUAUGUAAUUGUUUACCCAAAGCCCUCUAUCAUAAACCUGCUCGAUUCUCAACUGGGGGUUUAUGAUGUAUCAUUUUAAUAUUAGUUCUUUCUGUUCAAAUUUGUAUAUCGUGCUAAUUUAGAAGUGAUUGUAGGUUCAAGUACAAAAUAAGAUAAACGGAGAAGCCGAAUAAUUUCGGCAGUGGAAAUCAUCACGUGAAAAAGAAGGCAACUAAAUAAUGGAGGAGAAACGAGUAUGAAUGGCACAAAUUCCAGGUUCUUAAUCAAUCCAAAAAAUGGUGGGAUCUUUUCUAUAUUCACUUUCUUUUCAUGCAUCCUUAUAAGUUCUAAAAUUUCCCACUUAUUCUAUUAUAAUAAUUUUAUCUUUAUAAAAAAGAACCUUAGGUGUUUUAAAGGAUUAGAGAAGAGGCUCCACCUGCAACCCAAAAGUUAAAAGACUUGCUAGAAGCCUGGAAGUUUACAAGUACACAGGGAUAUAAUUUUUUUUGACCGAAUAACAUUUUCAGUCCAUGUGGUUCCAGCAACCAAUUUUUAAAGGACAGUGGCGAUAUUUUGUAAUUGAGAUAUGGUGUAUUACAUUGACUAGCAGUGGGGAUGGAGCAAAUGAACAUGUAUACAACUGAAUAUUAAAGGACAAUGGUGAUAUUUUGAUAUAUCCCGACGUUAUCAAAUGUAAUAUGUAAUUUUAUCAACCUAUCAUUAUAUGUGAAUCAUGGUUUUAUGUUCU
This is a long non-coding RNA of Helianthus annuus (common sunflower), 1380 nucleotides long. RefSeq lists it as uncharacterized. Lineage: Eukaryota; Viridiplantae; Streptophyta; Magnoliopsida; Asterales; Asteraceae. The record is from RefSeq and is a predicted model, not a curated record. The transcript has 5 exons.